AACCGGAUUAGAUACCCUGGUAGUCCACGCCCUAAACGAUGUCUACUAGUUGUCGGGUUUUAAUUAACUUGGUAACGCAGCUAACGCGUGAAGUAGACCGCCUGGGGAGUACGGUCGCAAGAUUAAAACUCAAAGGAAUUGACGGGGACCCGCACAAGCGGUGGAUGAUGUGGAUUAAUUCGAUGCAACGCGAAAAACCUUACUUACCCUUGACAUGUACGGAAGACCGAAGAGAUUUGGUUGUGCUCGAAAGAGAACCGUAACACAGGUGCUGCAUGGCUGUCGUCAGCUCGUGUCGUGAGAUGUUGGGUUAAGUCCCGCAACGAGCGCAACCCUUGUCAUUAGUUGCUACAUUUAGUUGAGCACUCUAAUGAGACUGCCGGUGACAAACCGGAGGAAGGUGGGGAUGACGUCAAGUCCUCAUGGCCCUUAUGGGUAGGGCUUCACACGUCAUACAAUGGUACAUACAGAGGGCCGCCAACCCGCGAGGGGGAGCUAAUCCAAGAAAGUGUAUCGUAGUCCGGAUCGCAGU
Molecule: ribosomal RNA, 532 nt
Filed under: uncultured bacterium
Lineage: Bacteria
Description: bacterial SSU rRNA
Rfam family: Bacterial small subunit ribosomal RNA
Source: RNAcentral